GACGAACGCUGGCGGCGUGCCUAAUACAUGCAAGUUGAGCGCUGAAGGUUGGUACUUGUACCAACUGGGUGAGCAGCGAACGGGUGAGUAACGCGUGGGGAAUCUGCCUUUGAGCGGGGGACAACAUUUGGAAACGAAUGCUAAUACCGCAUAAAAACUUUAAACACAAGUUUUAAGUUUGAAAGAUGCAAUUGCAUCACUCAAAGAUGAUCCCGCGUUGUAUUAGCUAGUUGGUGAGGUAAAGGCUCACCAAGGCGAUGAUACAUAGCCGACCUGAGAGGGUGAUCGGCCACAUUGGGACUGAGACACGGCCCAAACUCCUACGGGAGGCAGCAGUAGGGAAUCUUCGGCAAUGGACGAAAGUCUGACCGAGCAACGCCGCGUGAGUGAAGAAGGGUUUCGGAUCGUAAAACUCUGCUGGUAGAGAAGAACGUUGGUGAGAGUGGAAAGCUCAUCAAGUGACGGUAACUACCCAGAAAGGGACGGCUAACUACGUG
Molecule: ribosomal RNA, 497 nt
Filed under: uncultured bacterium
Lineage: Bacteria
Description: partial 16S ribosomal RNA
Rfam family: Bacterial small subunit ribosomal RNA
Source: RNAcentral